Molecule: non-coding RNA, 3846 nt
Organism: Phascolarctos cinereus (koala)
Lineage: Eukaryota; Metazoa; Chordata; Mammalia; Diprotodontia; Phascolarctidae
Source: RefSeq, a predicted model, not a curated record
CAGCCCUCUGGGAUAGUUGCUAUUAGUAUCCCCAUUUUACAUAGAAGCUAAGGCCUGGGGAGGGGGGCAGGGAGGAUAAUGAGUGUGGGUUAGGGACUGGUAUCAGGAGGAAUUCUGAGACUUGAGGGCCCCCUGCCUGGGCCAGCUGGGCUCCUGACUUCCCCUAGGAAGAGGGAGGCAGCCUCUUCUUGAGUUCUGUGUUCCCUUCCAUGAGCAUUGAAGAUGGCCCCAUGCCAGAGGCCAGCAGGCUCCGGAGGGGCUCAGUCUCCCCUCUCCUAGAGUGGUGUAUGAAAUAGGAAGGCUUGAGUUUUUGUGACUUGUUUUAGAGGUGCUAAGAAAGUGACACCUGGGUCCGAAAUAUUGACCUAUUUCCUUUUACCUAUAAUAACAUAGCAUCUAACAUUUCACAGCAUCUACCUAAUGAAGUUAGCCCACUACUGCAUGGCCGCGGACCCGUGGUCUGCACCUGGGCCCCUAAGGUGAGGCCAGGGAACUGUCUUUUCAUAAUAAAUCAUUCCCAAGGGACCAGGGACUUUUGUCCCACCCCCCUGCUCUGGCGAGCAGUUUCUAUCCUUCUGGUGUCUUCAUGUUUGGAAUUAGAGUUAAUAAAUGAUCAUUAUAAGGACAUGCCUGCCUGCUGUCUACAGGCACUGUCAAGGUAAGGAGGUGCCAGUCCUGGUCCCUUGCCAAGGUGGCCAUGUGCUGAAGGAUCCAGAUGUGGGGCUCCAGGUGGGCUUUAGUGCUAAUGGAAAGCUUGCCAGGACGUUGUGAGCAAGCUCGGCUUUAGAGCUAGAAGAGACAGUUCCAGAGGCGUCACACGUGGAACCCUCAAAUGUAAUUGGGAAAUGAUGAAAUAAAGCUACAUUAGAACAUAGAUAAUGUUAUUAAUAUGUGACUGUACAGAGCCUUCCUUGCUUCUGUUGGAGUUUGGUACCCCUGGCCUAGCAGGGCAGGGACUUGUCCAGGGUCACUUAGCCACUGAACAAGAGGCAAGGUCCAGGAAUCAGAGGCCACCCCGUCAGGGUCAGAGCCAAACCGGGAGGGGGGUAGGGUCUCUCUGUCCAGAGACUGUGCCCCUGAGUUUGGGGGGCUUCUUCACUGAUGGUUUUCUCUGUGAUUUCAGGUACUGUCUAAUAGGAAGGAUGGAGUUGGGGAAAGGCAAGCUUCUCAGGACCGGCCUCAAUGCCCUGUACCAAGCAGUCCAUCCCGUGCAUGGCAUCGCCUGGACUGACGGGAAGCAGGUUGUCCUGACGGCGCUGCAGCUGCAGAAUGCAGGGCCCACAUUUGGAGACUCAAGGAUCAUGGGGCAGUUUGAACACGUGCACGGGCUGUCCUGGGGUCCCCCAGGGGCGGCAGGUAGCCCCACCCUGCUGGCGGUACAGCACAAGAAACACGUCUCCGUGUGGCAGCUGUGCUCGAGCCUCUCGGAGAGAAGCAGGCUGCUGGUGUCCCAGACGUGCGAGGUCGGGGAGCCCCACCCCGUGCUCCCCCAGGGCUGCGUGUGGCAUCCCCACAAGGCAAUCCUGACCGUGCUCACCAGUCGCGACGUCUCUGUCCUCCACUCGGUGCACUGUGACAGCUCCCGGGUGAAGGCCGACCUGGUCAGAGACCAGGGCUUUGUGCACUGUGCGUGCUGGACCCAUGAUGGUCACAGGCUGGUGGUGGCUGUGGGCAGUGCCCUGCAUUCUUUCAUGUGGGACGACUCCCAGAAGACUCUGCACGCGUGCUCUUUCUGCCCGGUGUUUGAUGUGGGUAGUCACAUCUGCUCUGUGUUAGCCACUGUGGACAUGCAGAUUGCUGUGGCCACUGAACUCCCACUGGACAAGAUCUGUAGCCUCCACUCAAUGGAGGCCUUUGAGAUAUCGACUGCGGAAGAGAUGCAGCCCUCACCCUCAUCCCUGGCCGGCAUUGUGGAGGAGCCCUCUGUGGAGCCCGGGAAAGCGUCCCCCGACUCAGAGCCGUCCUUCUCGUCUUCCUCCCUAGACUCAGGGGAUCUCACGCUGAUGCCCCCUGGAGGCCAUCAAUGCGACUCGAGCUUACUCUUCCGCCUCCAAGAGAAGGGCUGCCUCUCUGGAGCAGGCCAGGACUCCUCCCAUUUGGUCCUGGUGACCUUCGACAGGACGGUCACCACCUCCCGGAAGGUGGGCAUCCCGGGUGUCCUGGUGCCGGACCUGCUGGCCUUUGAUCCCAAGUCUCAGGUGGUGGCUGUGGCCUCCAACACAUGCCACAUCAUUCUGAUUUAUUCCCUGAGCCCCUCCUCGGCACCAGGUGUCCAGUGCAUCCGGCUGGAGACCUGUGAGAGGCCCAAGGGCAUCUGCUUCUUGUCAGACAAACUACUCCUGAUUUUGGUGGGGAAGCAAAAGGUCACAGACCCCACUUUCCUUCCCUCCUCCAAGUCUGACAAGUACACCAUUCGCUUGGUGGUCAGGGAAGUCACCUUCGAGGGAGAACCCUCCUGGAAGUCUGACUGGAGCCAGCAAGAUUUCUGCAAUGUCAGCACGACGCUGGGCUUGACCAGUGAGAGGAAGCCGGGGGAGAGCCACUGCCCCAUCUUCUACCCUCAGAUGAGAGAACUCCUCAUCCCCGGAAAGCUCCACGUGCAGCCUCUGGCUAGGGUGAAAACCUUGAUCGAGGAAAUCACGGUCACUCCCUGGGCCCAGAGCCCCAGGCCCAAUGCUGCACUGCUGAGCAAGCCCAUGCCAGCCACUGAUGCUGCUGCCUCCGUGCAAGGGCUGGAGGCUGUGUCCAGCCCCUGGUCCCCAGCUCCACUUGGCCCCGAUGCCAGGCCAGGCUCACCAAAGACCCAGUGCCGCCUAAUACACGAGCCCCUGAACCUUCCCCAGGACAAAGCCUCCAUGAAGGAAAAGGAGGACAGUCGGUUGUGUAGGGUACUGGAGAGGCUGUCUGGAAGCUUCACGGACCUCCACCAGCGCCUCUUAGAGCUCAUAGACCUUCUGCACGGGAAGGAGCAGCCACCAUCCCCCACCACGUACCCGCUCUCUCAAGACCCAUCUUUCCUUCUCAUCACCUGUCAGAAGCCGUCCCCGACAGGGCCCGUGGUGGACAAGAGAGCAGUCCUUCUCUGUGAUGGCAAGGUGCGCCUGCAGACAGUCCAGCAGGUGUUUGGCCUCUCUCUGGUGGAGAUGCAGCACGGCUCCCUCUGGAUCCUCCUCUCUGCGGACAGUGAAGGCUUCAUCCCGUUAACAUUCUUGACCUCCCAGGAGAUCACCAUCCGUGAUGGCAGUGGCAGCAGGCUGGGCUCCCCCACCCAGUGAGUCAGCAUCUGUCUGCCAAGCAGGCGUUUGCACUGGAGCGGUCCCCACCCCUCUGAAAGGCCAUUCUGCAGUGUCCAGAUAUCUGGAGCACUCAGGGCCGCGUGGGCCUGAAAGGGCCUGGGCAUCACUUUGCAAAGAGACAGGAAGAAUAAAGUCUGGUGAAGGGGUCAGAACUGCGCUUUAGGAAAAUCCCAUUGGCGGCCGAAUGGAGAAUGGACGCAUCAGGGAGAGACUGAGGCAGGCAGACCCCCUCCUCCACCCUCAGCAGCUCCUGCCAUUGUCCAGGUGUGAGGUGAUGAGGGCCUGUGCCAGGGUGGGGGCAGGUGGGAGGAAAGAAGGGGGCAUGUCUCCAGAGGUGAGAUUGACCAGAGGUGCCACAAAGGUGACAUCAUUAGGCCCCGGGGAGUUCCCCUUUGCAGCUACAUUGGUACAAAGCCCAUUCUUCCUCCUCCUCAAAGUUGUUUGUGCCCUCAGAAUUUCAUUUUUGAGCAUCUCCCUCUUUUUUCCCUGUUCCCCUUGUUGUUUCCUCUGCCUUUUGAAGGAUGAAAUUAUCCUAUGGGCAAGUCAAGAA